Small nuclear RNA from Cherax quadricarinatus, 164 nucleotides. RefSeq annotates it as U1 spliceosomal RNA. Lineage: Eukaryota; Metazoa; Arthropoda; Malacostraca; Decapoda; Parastacidae. The record is from RefSeq and is a predicted model, not a curated record.
AUACUUACCUGGCACAGGAGAUACCGUGGUCACGAAGGCAGUUUUCCCAGGGCGAGGCUCACCAUUGCACUCCAGUGGUGCUGACCCCUGCGAUUAACCCAAAUGUGGUUAACUUGAGUGCGAAUGUAGUAAGCGGAGGCGGAAAUGCGUUACACUGCCCUCUG